Molecule: ribosomal RNA, 250 nt
Filed under: uncultured bacterium
Lineage: Bacteria
Description: partial 16S ribosomal RNA
Rfam family: Bacterial small subunit ribosomal RNA
Source: RNAcentral
CACGUAGGGGGCGAGCGUUGUCCGGAUUUAUUGGGCGUAAAGAGCUCGUAGGCGGCUUGCUAAGUCGGGUGUGAAACCUCCAGGCUCAACCUGGAGACGCCACUCGAUACUGGCAUAGCUAGAGUCCGGUAGGGGAGCGUGGAAUUCCUGGUGUAGCGGUGAAAUGCGCAGAUAUCAGGAGGAACACCAGCGGCGAAGGCGGCGCUCUGGGCCGGAACUGACGCUGAGGAGCGAAAGCGUGGGGAGCGAA